UGGCGGCAGGCCUAACACAUGCAAGUCGAGCGGAAACGAGUUAUCUGAACCUUCGGGGGACGAUAACGGCGUCGAGCGGCGGACGGGUGAGUAAUGCCUAGGAAAUUGCCCUGAUGUGGGGGAUAACCAUUGGAAACGAUGGCUAAUACCGCAUAAUGCCUACGGGCCAAAGAGGGGGACCUUCGGGCCUCUCGCGUCAGGAUAUGCCUAGGUGGGAUUAGCUAGUUGGUGAGGUAAUGGCUCACCAAGGCGACGAUCCCUAGCUGGUCUGAGAGGAUGAUCAGCCACACUGGAACUGAGACACGGUCCAGACUCCUACGGGAGGCAGCAGUGGGGAAUAUUGCACAAUGGGCGCAAGCCUGAUGCAGCCAUGCCGCGUGUGUGAAGAAGGCCUUCGGGUUGUAAAGCACUUUCAGUCGUGAGGAAGGUAGUGUAGUUAAUAGCUGCAUUAUUUGACGUUAGCGACAGAAGAAGCACCGGCUAACUCCGUGCCAGCAGCCGCGGUAAUACGGAGGGUGCGAGCGUUAAUCGGAAUUACUGGGCGUAAAGCGCAUGCAGGUGGUUUGUUAAGUCAGAUGUGAAAGCCCGGGGCUCAACCUCGGAAUUGCAUUUGAAACUGGCAGACUAGAGUACUGUAGAGGGGGGUAGAAUUUCAGGUGUAGCGGUGAAAUGCGUAGAGAUCUGAAGGAAUACCGGUGGCGAAAGCGGCCCCCUGGACAGAUACUGACACUCAGAUGCGAAAGCGUGGGGAGCAAACAGGAUUAGAUACCCUGGUAGUCCACGCCGUAAACGAUGUCUACUUGGAGGUUGUGGCCUUGAGCCGUGGCUUUCGGAGCUAACGCGUUAAGUAGACCGCCUGGGGAGUACGGUCGCAAGAUUAAAACUCAAUGAAUUGACGGGGGCCCGCACAAGCGGUGGAGCAUGUGGUUUAUCGAUGCACGCGAAGAACUUACU
RNAcentral lists this ribosomal RNA (954 nucleotides) under Vibrio rotiferianus. Its description in RNAcentral is "bacterial SSU rRNA". It matches the Rfam family "Bacterial small subunit ribosomal RNA", at positions 37 to 975 of the family's 1533-position model. The record is from RNAcentral. Lineage: Bacteria; Pseudomonadati; Pseudomonadota; Gammaproteobacteria; Vibrionales; Vibrionaceae.